This 492-nucleotide ribosomal RNA is filed under the name uncultured Curtobacterium sp. RNAcentral describes it as "partial 16S ribosomal RNA". Lineage: Bacteria; Bacillati; Actinomycetota; Actinomycetes; Micrococcales; Microbacteriaceae. The record is from RNAcentral.
CACGUAGUUAGCCGGUGCUUUUUCUGCAGGUACCGUCACUUUCGCUUCUUCCCUACUAGAAGAGGUUUACAACCCGAAGGCCGUCAUCCCUCACGCGGCGUUGCUGCAUCAGGCUUUCGCCCAUUGUGCAAUAUUCCCCACUGCUGCCUCCCGUAGGAGUCUGGGCCGUGUCUCAGUCCCAGUGUGGCCGGUCACCCUCUCAGGCCGGCUACCCGUCGUCGCCUUGGUGAGCCAUUACCUCACCAACAAGCUGAUAGGCCGCGAGUCCAUCCCCAACCAAAAAAUCUUUCCACCACCAGACCAUGCGGCCAGUGAUCAUAUCCAGUAUUAGACGUCGUUUCCAACGCUUAUCCCAGAGUCAGGGGUCAGGUUACUCACGUGUUACUCACCCGUUCGCCACUAAUCCACCCAGCAAGCUGGGCAUCAUCGUUCGACUUGCAUGUGUUAAGCACGCCGCCAGCGUUCGUCCCGUACGCCACGGACGUCAACUAC